AGGGAAUUUUGCGCAAUGGACGAAAGUCUGACGCAGCAACGCCGCGUGAGUGAUGACGGUCCUCGGACUGUAAAGCUCUGUCAGGAGGGAAGAACCUGUCUGGUAACCCCAGGCACUGACGGUACCUCCAGAG
Molecule: ribosomal RNA, 133 nt
Filed under: uncultured bacterium
Lineage: Bacteria
Description: partial 16S ribosomal RNA
Rfam family: Bacterial small subunit ribosomal RNA
Source: RNAcentral